This is a long non-coding RNA of Argiope bruennichi, 749 nucleotides long. RefSeq lists it as uncharacterized. The transcript has 3 exons. The record is from RefSeq and is a predicted model, not a curated record. Lineage: Eukaryota; Metazoa; Arthropoda; Arachnida; Araneae; Araneidae.
GCAAAUAAAUAAAGCUGCAUUCGUUGAUAAAAUUAAUUCAAUAGUUUUAUAAACAAGACUGACUCUGUUACAGUCCGCAGAUAAGUUAGGGACAGAGCGUCUGAGAACAAGUAUCAUUUACGAGAGCUUAAAAAAAGUAUCUGCUGUUUUCCGUAUCCAUUUUUUUCUACAUCGCUGACUUAGAGCUGCUUAUAAAAAAGAUUCGCGCGCAGAUCAGUAUUGUCCAUCUUACGUUGGCUGACUGACUCAGUAGUUCAGGUGAAAAUGUCGGAGCAGCAACCAAAAGCAAAUACCACCGAAGGAAACACCGCACCACGUGGAGCAGAGGGAGGUGCAAGAGGAGCUGCAGAUAACCAACAGACUCAACCUCGUCCCCUUAGAGAAGUUCACAGGAACCAAGCGCCUGCCCAUUCUAGAUACCAAAACUGUAAUUUACUGAGAGAUUUACUGGAGAAAGAGGAGUAAUCCUUCAAACAGAAGAACUGUUUGAACAAUGAGCCAUCUUAAAUGUCACAUUUGUUACAUAAUUUUAAAAUUAUUUGGUUUGAAGGAUUGAGAAAGCUCCUGAUAAAUUAAUAUCGUUUUUAUUUUACAUAAGUGUCAUUUAAUUAUAAAAAAAAAAAAAAAUGUGUUUCUAGCAAGAAAAUUCAAUAUGUCACGCAUGAAUAUAUAAAAAUAAUAAAUAUCUAACUUUGCUGAUGAAAUUUAUGUGAUUUCUGAGAGGAAUAUAGGUACAUUUAAUUAGUUUC